UUUAAAUGCAACCAUGAGUUUCCGUGCCCAACUUUGAUCGUCCGUCUUAUUUGAAAUUUUUUUAUAAUUAGUAUUUUUGUUAUUAUGAGAUGAUAAAAUAUAAAUAGUACUUUACUUGUGACUUAUGUUUUUAAGUUUUUUUAAAAAGAUUUCAAAUAAGAUGGACGGACGGUUAAAGUUGGGCGCUGAAAAUCAUGGCUGCAUUUAAA
Non-coding RNA from Oryza glumipatula, 209 nucleotides. The record is from Rfam. NCBI's taxonomy places the organism in Eukaryota, Viridiplantae, Streptophyta, Magnoliopsida, Poales, Poaceae.